This 400-nucleotide ribosomal RNA is filed under the name uncultured bacterium. RNAcentral's name for it is "bacterial SSU rRNA". It matches the Rfam family "Bacterial small subunit ribosomal RNA", at positions 355 to 772 of the family's 1533-position model. The record is from RNAcentral.
UGGGGAAUAUUGGACAAUGGGGGCAACCCUGAUCCAGCCAUGCCGCGUGAGUGAUGAAGGCCUUAGGGUUGUAAAGCUCUUUCGCCGGUGACGAUGAUGACGGUAACCGGAGAAGAAGCCCCGGCUAACUUCGUGCCAGCAGCCGCGGUAAUACGAAGGGGGCUAGCGUUGUUCGGAAUGACUGGGCGUAAAGCGCACGUAGGCGGCUUGUUUAGUCAGGGGUGAAAUCCCGGGGCUUAACCCCGGAACUGCCUUUGAUACUGGCAAGCUCGAGUCCGGAAGAGGGUGGCGGAAUACCCAGUGUAGAGGUGAAAUUCGUAGAUAUUGGGUAGAACACCGGUGGCGAAGGCGGCCACCUGGUCCGGUACUGACGCUGAGGUGCGAAAGCGUGGGGAGCAAA